UAUGAGCACACCCUUUUCAACUAACGGUGACUUUGAAAGAAUGGGGAAGCGGAAGAUGUGCCAUCUCUUUUUCUUAUGUGGAAACAUUUAAAUAAGAAAAGAUCAAAGGCAUCUACGAUGAAGAUGGAGGUAACAGGUGGUGUUCUUUAACAAUGCUCGUCACAACUGCUUUCAACCAACGUGACCUUGCUAAGAUGUCUAUCAUUUAUUCACUCCAAGCAUUUGAAAAAACAAAAUCCUCUAAUCUCUCCAAAUCUACACCUUCCUAAAAUUAGCCUUUGCCUUGAGGAAAGGUUUUAAAAGCAUGUUUCAAGCUUUCCUCACAAAGUUUAAAAGACAAGAACAGUUUGUUGGUUCCUCCAGGGGGAGCCAUUCUCGGGAAAAAGAGAAAGUCAAGAGAUGAAUAACCAGUUUUAAGAAAGACUGUUUGUCAUUCCAAAUAAAAGACAAGUGCAUUGUUCUAACAGAUGGAUUGUUCAUCAAUCUUGAGAGACAACAGGCUUAACCCAUUUAAAAACAUAGACCAACUCAAUUUUUUAAGAAAAACGUGUCAAAUUUAGAUUUAGAUAUAUAAAUAAAAAUGUAGAUUAUAUGGCACAAGAAACACAAAGCAAUAUAUACCACUUGUGAUGGAGAUGUUGCAAAAUUCAA
Molecule: long non-coding RNA, 651 nt
Organism: Onychostoma macrolepis
Lineage: Eukaryota; Metazoa; Chordata; Actinopteri; Cypriniformes; Cyprinidae
Exons: 3
Source: RefSeq, a predicted model, not a curated record